AGUGUCAACCGCACAUGCAGUGCCAGCCCACAGGCAGUGCCAGCCGCACAGGCAGUGCCAGCCCACAGGCAGUGUUAGCCCCGCAAGCAGUGUCAGCCCCCACAGGCACCAGCCGCACAGGCAGUGCCAGCCCACAGGCAGUGUCAGCCCCGCAGGCAGUGUCAGCCGUGCGGGCGACGUGCACCAACAUGGGUGCCGACGGACGGGUGCCCACAAUCAUCAUAGAUAUGUUCCAUUGCAUAUCUUAAGUGUAGCAAGGAAGUUUAGCAAGGAUCUGAGAUGAUCCCACGGGUCGUCGACGCACGACCCCCGUGCGAGCCUGAGUGUCAGUCCCGAGCGUUUUCGAGCUAUGGAUGGAAUCUUGGGAUUUCGGGUGAGCACACCCUUCCUAGGAUGUUAUUGAAUGUGCUUACCAAUUUUGGCGUCACUUGAACAUCAUUUACCUAAGGGCUUGACUUAGCCAAGGAGCAGUGUCAGUGUCAAAGCUCCCUAAGGCCAUAUCUCGUUCCACGAGCAUGGGGAUGAGAUGAAACUUCAUGGAGGAGUGAAGGAAGUCAAGAGAAAGAGUUAGGAACAGACGGCGCCUCAUUUGGAGUUCGAAUCAUUGAGAAAGGCCAAUUGUGAUUCUCGGGCAGAAUCAUGUCCAGUGCUAAAACUUGGGCUUUUCUUUUUUAAAGCAUAUAUAAGGGGGGCACAGGUGUCUCAGCUCAGCCAGCCUCCCCCGUGCGUGCCACCAUCAAGCCGCACCAAGUGAGCAACCUUGGGGGCCAACCUCAAGGGCCUGCCUAGGCAUCCCCAAAGGGUCCUAGGUACCCAUACGAGUUACGCAACUCUAUGGGCGGCGCUCGGCCACAGGCCAGCGUUGGG
This is a long non-coding RNA of Lycium ferocissimum, 867 nucleotides long. RefSeq lists it as uncharacterized. The record is from RefSeq and is a predicted model, not a curated record. Lineage: Eukaryota; Viridiplantae; Streptophyta; Magnoliopsida; Solanales; Solanaceae. The transcript has 2 exons.